AUGGACGGCCGGGAUCAGCCGCAGCAGCAGCAGCAGACGCCGACGCCGCUGCCGCUGCCGCUGCCGCCGCCGCCGCAGCAGCAGACGCCGGCACCGCCGCAGCAGCAGACGCCGCGCGUGAGCUCGCCGCCGCCGGUGGCCCCCGGCGUCAUGAUGCCGCAGCACGCCUACGGCGCGAUGCCGCCGGGCUCCGCGAGCGUCAUGCACGGGAUGCCGCUCGCCUUCAACCCCAUGGCGUCGCCCGGCGCCUCGCAGCCGGCAAUGAAGCCCGCGGACAUGCCGCCGCUCGCCAUGUACCGGCCCGAUUCCACCCCGCCGGGCAUGCCGCAGCCCGUUAGCGGUGGCGGUGGCGCCCUGGUGGUCAGCGUCAGCGGCAGCGGCGGCGGCCGGGAGCUCGUGAAGAAGAAGAGGGGAAGGCCGAGGAAGUAUGGGCCGGACGGGACCAUGGGCUCGGCGGUGAAGGCCGAGGCGGGCGGGCAGUCUGGUGGCGCGGGCUCCAACUCGAAUCCUGACGGGAAGCGCAGAGGACGGCCCCCGGGAUCUGGCAAAAAGAAACAGCUCGAUGCCUUAGGCUCAGCUGGGACAUCAUUUACUCCUCACAUAAUUACUGUCAAGCCUAAUGAGGAUGUUGCUUCGAAAAUAAUGUCUUUUUCACAACAAGGCCCACGUACUACAUGUAUAAUCUCAGCAAACGGUGCGCUGUGCACAGCAACACUCCGUCAACCAGCAACCUCUGGUGGCAUAGUGACAUAUGAGGGCCACUUUGAUAUUCUCUCUCUGUCGGGCUCAUUUCUGCUGGCAGAGGAUGGUGACACUCGUAGCAGGACAGGUGGUCUGAGUGUUGCUCUGGCUGGAAGCGAUGGGCGUAUUGUAGGAGGUUGUGUUGCAGGAAUGCUUAUGGCUGCAACGCCUGUCCAGGUUGUGGUGGGCAGCUUCAUCGCCGAAGGUAACAAAAAGCCCAAGGAAGAACAACCAAAACGCGAGCCAACAUCUGCGCCGAUGCUAACAUCUGCGCCGAUGCAGACGGCUGCUGGCUUCGGUGCAGCCUCAGCUGCUGCUACGCCAUCAGACGGAACAUCAAGCGACCACUCUGAUGACCCAGGGAGCCCUAUGGGACCCAAUGGUAGCGCGUUCAACAAUGCAGGCCAUCCGACACACGCUUCAUAUGCUCCUGUGGGCUGGUCACUCUCCGGGAACCAAGGCCGCUACGACCCAGACAUGAAGAUGGUGACCGACUAA
Molecule: ribosomal RNA, 1239 nt
Filed under: Triticum aestivum (bread wheat)
Lineage: Eukaryota; Viridiplantae; Streptophyta; Magnoliopsida; Poales; Poaceae
Description: partial small subunit ribosomal RNA
Source: RNAcentral